Molecule: ribosomal RNA, 467 nt
Filed under: uncultured bacterium
Lineage: Bacteria
Description: partial 16S ribosomal RNA
Rfam family: Bacterial small subunit ribosomal RNA
Source: RNAcentral
GUGAACGCUGGCGGCGUGCUUAAGACAUGCAAGUCGAACGGAAAGGCCCUGCUUUUGUGGGGUGCUCGAGUGGCGAACGGGUGAGUAACACGUGAGUAACCUGCCCUUGACUUUGGGAUAACUUCAGGAAACUGGGGCUAAUACCGGAUAGGAGCUCCUGCUGCAUGGUGGGGGUUGGAAAGUUUCGGCGGUUGGGGAUGGACUCGCGGCUUAUCAGCUUGUUGGUGGGGUAGUGGCUUACCAAGGCUUUGACGGGUAGCCGGCCUGAGAGGGUGACCGGCCACAUUGGGACUGAGAUACGGCCCAGACUCCUACGGGAGGCAGCAGUGGGGAAUAUUGCACAAUGGGCGGAAGCCUGAUGCAGCAACGCCGCGUGCGGGAUGACGGCCUUCGGGUUGUAAACCGCUUUCGCCUGUGACGAAGCGUGAGUGACGGUAAUGGGUAAAGAAGCACCGGCUAACUACGUG